UGAUGUCACUCCAUGAUGAUGUCACAGGUUCAAUUACAAAAAAAUUGUACCUGUGACAUCAUCAUGUAGUGACAUCA
Molecule: microRNA precursor, 77 nt
Filed under: Xyrichtys novacula (pearly razorfish)
Lineage: Eukaryota; Metazoa; Chordata; Actinopteri; Labriformes; Labridae
Source: RNAcentral